Molecule: ribosomal RNA, 466 nt
Filed under: uncultured bacterium
Lineage: Bacteria
Description: partial 16S ribosomal RNA
Rfam family: Bacterial small subunit ribosomal RNA
Source: RNAcentral
ACGAACGCUGGCGGCGUGCUUAACACAUGCCAGUCGAACGGAAAGGCCCUGCUUUUGUGGGGUGCUCGAGUGGCGAACGGGUGAGUAACACGUGAGUAACCUGCCCUUGACUUUGGGAUAACUUCAGGAAACUGGGGCUAAUACCGGAUAGGAGCUCCUGCUGCAUGGUGGGGGUUGGAAAGUUUCGGCGGUUGGGGAUGGACUCGCGGCUUAUCAGCUUGUUGGUGGGGUAGUGGCUUACCAAGGCUUUGACGGGUAGCCGGCCUGGGAGGGUGACCGGCCACAUUGGGACUGAGAUACGGCCCAGACUCCUACGGGAGGCAGCAGUGGGGAAUAUUGCACAAUGGGCGGAAGCCUGAUGCAGCAACGCCGCGUGCGGGAUGACGGCCUUCGGGUGGUAAACCGCUUUCGCCUGUGACGAAGCGUGAGUGACGGUAAUGGGUAAAGAAGCACCGGCUAACUACGU